AUUUCGAAAUGUCCGCUUCAACCGCAGUUUAACCUCCCAAAAAGCAAAGUUGGCUUGACGAGCACAGAUGCGAGGAAGCGGGAGCAAUUAAACAAAAAAUAUCUUUCUUGUCCUUCUACUUAAGGGGCAAAGAGAAGUGCUUUUGCUACUGAGAAAGCGAACGUGCGAAGGUUCAAGACUUAGCCGAGCGUUAGCGAAGCUAGAUUCG
Molecule: long non-coding RNA, 208 nt
Filed under: Medicago truncatula (barrel medic)
Lineage: Eukaryota; Viridiplantae; Streptophyta; Magnoliopsida; Fabales; Fabaceae
Description: long non-coding RNA (MTRU_LNC007346)
Source: RNAcentral